CAGGCGCGAAAACUUUACAAUGCAGGAAACUGUGAUAAGGGAACCCCGAGUGCCCGUAUACGCGGGCUGUCCAGGUGUAUAAAAAGCAUCUGAAGAAAGGGCCGGGCAAGACCGGUGCCAGCCGCCGCGGUAAUACCGGCGGCUCGAGUGGUGGCCACUAUUAUUGGGCUUAAAGCGUCCGUAGCUGGACCGUUAAGUCUCUUGGGAAAUCCGCCGGCUCAACCGGCGGGCGUCUAAGAGAUACUGAUGGUCUAGGGACCGGGAGAGGUGAGAGGUACUCCGGGGGUAGGAGUGAAAUCCUGUAAUCCCCGGGGGACCACCGAUGGCGAAGGCAUCUCACCAGAACGGCUCCGACAGUGAGGGACGAAAGCUGGGGGAGCGAACCGGAUUAGAUACCCGGGUAGUCCCAGCCGUAAACUAUGCGCGUUAGGUGUACUGGUGACCAUGAGUCACUGGGGUGCCGAAGGGAAACCGUGAAACGUGCCGCCUGGGAAGUACGG
RNAcentral lists this ribosomal RNA (500 nucleotides) under uncultured archaeon. Its description in RNAcentral is "bacterial SSU rRNA". It matches the Rfam family "Archaeal small subunit ribosomal RNA", at positions 336 to 840 of the family's 1478-position model. The record is from RNAcentral.